This 489-nucleotide long non-coding RNA is filed under the name Monodelphis domestica (gray short-tailed opossum). RNAcentral describes it as "lncRNA (ENSMODG00000046898.1)". The record is from RNAcentral. Lineage: Eukaryota; Metazoa; Chordata; Mammalia; Didelphimorphia; Didelphidae.
AUAAUAGAUUCAGAGCUGAGAAGACCUUUACAGGAGCAGCUAGGACAUUCAGUGGAUGGAGCCAAGGUCUGGAGCAGGAAGACUUAAGUUCAAAUCUGGCCUCAGAUACUUACCUGGUAUGAGAUAUUAGAUUGGCUGGCUUUUCAUUACAAUUGGCUGAAAGAAUCAUGGGGUCUCUGGCUAAAUAUUUUCAUUUUGCUGAAGCAAGCAAUUACUACUGUAGAGUUAAAAAGAUUAAAAAAAAAAGAAAAACAGAAAAUUUAACAAAACAUCACUUUCUUCAGAGAAGAAAACAUCCUUUCCUGAUAUCAUGUGAAAAAAGACUUCUCAAAAUGCCUCCAAAAGGAAUGAAUUCCUGUGAUCCUGACCUACACAGGUUCCAUGCUGCUCCAUGAUGAUGAGAAUGAUGAUGGAAAAUCCAAGUGUAAUAAGUCAAUCUGACAAAAGUUCAUUUACUCACAAGAAUUUUUUUCCAUUUAGAAUAAAGUU